This 24-nucleotide microRNA is filed under the name Prunus persica (peach). RNAcentral describes it as "microRNA miRNA_12". Lineage: Eukaryota; Viridiplantae; Streptophyta; Magnoliopsida; Rosales; Rosaceae. The record is from RNAcentral.
GAGGGGAGGAUGGAAGAGAGGAGU